CCUACGGGAGGCAGCAGUGGGGACUAUUGGACAAUGGGGGCAACCCUGAUCCAGCCAUGCCGCGUGUGUGAAGAAGGCCCUCGGGUUGUAAAGCACUUUCAGUGAGGAAGAACGCCUGGUGGUUAAUACCCAUCAGGAAAGACAUCACUCACAGAAGAAGCACCGGCUAACUCCGUGCCAGCAGCCGCGGUAAUACGGAGGGUGCGAGCGUUAAUCGGAAUUACUGGGCGUAAAGCGCGCGUAGGUGGCUUGAUAAGCCGGUUGUGAAAGCCCCGGGCUCAACCUGGGAACGGCAUCCGGAACUGUCAAGCUAGAGUGCAGGAGAGGAAGGUAGAAUUCCCGGUGUAGCGGUGAAAUGCGUAGAGAUCGGGAGGAAUACCAGUGGCGAAGGCGGCCUUCUGGACUGACACUGACACUGAGGUGCGAAAGCGUGGGUAGCAAACAGGAUUAGAUACCCUGGUAGUC
Molecule: ribosomal RNA, 465 nt
Filed under: Vreelandella stevensii
Lineage: Bacteria; Pseudomonadati; Pseudomonadota; Gammaproteobacteria; Oceanospirillales; Halomonadaceae
Description: partial 16S ribosomal RNA
Rfam family: Bacterial small subunit ribosomal RNA
Source: RNAcentral